RNAcentral lists this ribosomal RNA (253 nucleotides) under uncultured bacterium. RNAcentral describes it as "partial 16S ribosomal RNA". It matches the Rfam family "Bacterial small subunit ribosomal RNA", at positions 524 to 776 of the family's 1533-position model. The record is from RNAcentral.
UACGAGAACCCCAAGCGUUAUCCGGAAUCAUUGGGCGUAAAGGGUGUGUAGGCGGCGAUGUUAGUCUUCUGUCAAAUUCUUCGGCUUAACCGGGGGCUUGCAGGGGAAACGGCAUGGCUCGAGAGUGCGAGAGGUGAAUGGAACUCAUGGAGUAGGGGUAAUAUCCGUUGAUAUCAUGGGGAACACCGAAAGCGAAGGCAAUUCACUGGCGCAUUUCUGACGCUGAGACACGAAAGCGUGGGUAGCGAAUGGG